GAGUGUUAUUGUAGUGGCAAGGGAAGAAAAACAGUCCCAGAUUCCCAGACUUUGAGUCAUAGUGCUGGUGGAGACAGGAAGAAUCCACCGAUUAGUUUAGCCGGUGUUGUUAUGGUCAGAUAACGUCGAAUGUUGGAGGGCUGGACGAUAAUUAUCGAAGGCGGAAAGAAGGCAAACAGUUCCCCAACUUAGUCUAAGAGAGUGACGGCAUCCAGGAGACAAACAGCAGAUACGACAAAUAUGUGAUGGGAUGAAAAUGCAUCAUCAGCAAGCCAAUCAAAUGCACGGAAACCGGCGUCCUUCCAAGGCAUGGAUUGUACCCUACAUGCCAACAGCCGUUCUGGCAGGCAACAAAAGGGAACAAUGGCCGCUGCAGUUCGACACGUUCGGAGCGAAAGUUGCAAAUCCGUCCGGAAGUUUCCCAUAUUGAUGGAAGUGUAUAAGCAAGAUUUAUUUCCCUUUUUUUCAUUUUUGUCGCCACAUCUACUACAACUUGGCUCUUGUUGGCUCUUGGGCUUUCGGGUGGACGAAGAUAAAGCUCUAUGGGUACGACACAGAACAACAAAAUUGUCUCCUUCCCAACGUUAGCGUAAGCGGAUCUUCUACUUCUGGCGAUUGCCGUAGAGAUUAGAUUUCACUUUGCCUUCGCAUGGAUGGGAGCCUUUCCACUUCAAGCGGGAAUGGCCUGUGAUAACCAUGUAUAAUUCUAUUGAUCCACUCUCUGAGUGGAUCGUAGA
This is a long non-coding RNA of Armigeres subalbatus, 737 nucleotides long. RefSeq lists it as uncharacterized. NCBI's taxonomy places the organism in Eukaryota, Metazoa, Arthropoda, Insecta, Diptera, Culicidae. The record is from RefSeq and is a predicted model, not a curated record. The transcript is spliced from 3 exons.